UUCCGCUUGAAGAUGAGUCUACGUCCUAUUAGCUAGUUGGCGGGGUAAUGGCCCACCAAGGCAACGAUGGGUAGCGGUUGUGAGAGCAUGAUCCGCCUCACUGGGACUGAGACACUGCCCAGACACCUACGGGUGGCUGCAGUCGAGAAUCUUUGUCAAUGGACGAAAGUCUGAACAAGCGACGCCGCGUGCGGGAUGAAGGCCUUCGGGUUGUAAACCGCUGUCGUAGGGGAACAAAUGUAUGGGGGUUCUCUCCUUUACUUGAGUGAUCCUAGGAGGAAGGACGGGCUAAGUUCGUGCCAGCAGCCGCGGUAAGACGAACCGUCCAAACGUUAUUCGGUAUCACUGGGCUUAAAGAGUUCGUAGGCGGCCAUGCAGGUCAGGUGUGAAAUCCCACAGCUCAACUGUGGAACUGCGCUUGAAACCGCAUGGCUUGAGGGAGAUAGAGGUGAGCGGAACAGAUGGUGGAGCGGUGAAAUGCGUUGAUAUCAUCUGGAACACCGGUGGCGAAAGCGGCUCACUGGAUCUCUUCUGACGCUCAGGAACGAAAGCUAGGGUAGCGAACGGGAUUAGAUACCCCGGUAGUCCUAGCCGUAAACGAUGAGCACUAGUCCGAGGGGACUCUCACAUCCUCUCGGACGUAGCGAAAGUAUUAAGUGCUCCGNCUGGGGAGUAUGGUCGCCAGGCUGAAACUCAAACGAAUUGACGGGGGCUCACACAAGCG
This 724-nucleotide ribosomal RNA is filed under the name uncultured organism. RNAcentral's name for it is "bacterial SSU rRNA". It matches the Rfam family "Bacterial small subunit ribosomal RNA", at positions 213 to 931 of the family's 1533-position model. The record is from RNAcentral.